This 555-nucleotide ribosomal RNA is filed under the name Aglyptodactylus madagascariensis (Madagascar jumping frog). Its description in RNAcentral is "partial 16S ribosomal RNA". It matches the Rfam family "Bacterial large subunit ribosomal RNA", at positions 1830 to 2597 of the family's 2925-position model. The record is from RNAcentral. Lineage: Eukaryota; Metazoa; Chordata; Amphibia; Anura; Mantellidae.
CGCCUCUUGCUUUAAUAUAAGAGGUCUAGCCUGCCCGGUGAUACUAUUUAACGGCCGCGGUACCCUAACCGUGCGAAGGUAGCAUAAUCACUUGUUCUUUAAAUGGGGACUCGUAUCAACGGCAUCACGAGGGUUGUACUGUCUCCUUUCCCCAAUCAGUGAAACUGAUCUCUCCGUGAAGAAGCGGAGAUAGAAUUAUAAGACGAGAAGACCCCAUGGAGCUUUAAACCCAGCAACUACCUCUGUUUAAACACACCCACAUAAGUAACAGAACCCUAUUUGUCUGGUUUUAGGUUGGGGUGACCGCGGAGUAUAAAAUAGCCUCCACGAUGAAUGGGCUAACCCCUUAAUCUAAGAGUCACACCUCUAAGAAUUAGCAAUCUAACAUAAACUGAUCCGACUAUCGAUCAACGAACCAAGUUACCCUGGGGAUAACAGCGCAAUCCACUUUAAGAGCUCCUAUCGACAAGUGGGUUUACGACCUCGAUGUUGGAUCAGGGUAUCCUAGUGGUGCAGCAGCUACUAAAGGUUCGUUUGUUCAACGAUUAAAACCCU